This 348-nucleotide unclassified non-coding RNA is filed under the name soil metagenome. RNAcentral's name for it is "partial contains 5.8S ribosomal RNA, internal transcribed spacer 2, and large subunit ribosomal RNA". The stretch from base 1 to 120 matches the Rfam family "5.8S ribosomal RNA", at positions 35 to 154 of the family's 154-position model. The record is from RNAcentral.
GAUGAAGAACGCAGCGAAAUGCGAUAAGUAAUGUGAAUUGCAGAAUUCAGUGAAUCAUCGAAUCUUUGAACGCACAUUGCGCCCGCGAGUAUUCUGGCGGGCAUGCCUGUCUGAGCGUCAUUUCAACCCUCAUGCCCCUAGGGCGUGGUGUUGGGGAUCGGCCAAAGCCCGCGAGGGACGGCCGGCCCCUAAAUCUAGUGGCGGACCCGUCGUGGCCUCCUCUGCGAAGUAGUGAUAUUCCGCAUCGGAGAGCGAUGAGCCCCUGCCGUUAAACCCCCAACUUUCCAAGGUUGACCUCAGAUCAGGUAGGAAUACCCGCUGAACUUAAGCAUAUCAAUAAGCGGAGGA